UACGUAGGGGGCGAGCGUUGUUCGGAUUUACUGGGCGUAAAGAGCGCGUAGGCGGUUCGAUUAGUCGGAGGUGAAAUCCCUCGGCUCAACCGAGGACCCGCGUCCGAUACUGUCGAACUUGAGUGCAGGAGAGGAGAGCGGAAUUCCCAGUGUAGCGGUGAAAUGCGUAGAUAUUGGGAGGAACACCGGUGGCGAAGGCGGCUCUCUGGACUGUCACUGACGCUGAGGCGCGAAAGCUAGGGGAGCAAACGGG
RNAcentral lists this ribosomal RNA (253 nucleotides) under uncultured bacterium. RNAcentral describes it as "partial 16S ribosomal RNA". It matches the Rfam family "Bacterial small subunit ribosomal RNA", at positions 524 to 776 of the family's 1533-position model. The record is from RNAcentral.